GCAGUCGAGCGAACAGAUAAGGAGCUUGCUCCUUUGAAGUUAGCGGCGGACGGGUGAGUAACACGUGGGUAACCUACCUAUAAGACUGGGAUAACUUCGGGAAACCGGAGCUAAUACCGGAUAACAUUUAGAACCGCAUGGUUCUAAAGUGAAAGAUGGUUUUGCUAUCACUUAUAGAUGGACCCGCGCCGUAUUAGCUAGUUGGUAAGGUAACGGCUUACCAAGGCGACGAUACGUAGCCGACCUGAGAGGGUGAUCGGCCACACUGGAACUGAGACACGGUCCAGACUCCUACGGGAGGCAGCAGUAGGGAAUCUUCCGCAAUGGGCGAAAGCCUGACGGAGCAACGCCGCGUGAGUGAUGAAGGGUUUCGGCUCGUAAAACUCUGUUAUUAGGGAAGAACAAAUGUGUAAGUAACUGUGCACAUCUUGACGGUACCUAAUCAGAAAGCCACGGCUAACUACGUGCCAGCAGCCGCGGUAAUACGUAGGUGGCAAGCGUUAUCCGGAAUUAUUGGGCGUAAAGCGCGCGUAGGCGGUUUCUUAAGUCUGAUGUGAAAGCCCACGGCUCAACCGUGGAGGGUCAUUGGAAACUGGGAAACUUGAGUGCAGAAGAGGAAAGUGGAAUUCCAUGUGUAGCGGUGAAAUGCGCAGAGAUAUGGAGGAACACCAGUGGCGAAGGCGACUUUCUGGUCUGUAACUGACGCUGAUGUGCGAAAGCGUGGGGAUCAAACAGGAUUAGAUACCCUGGUAGUCCACGCCGUAAACGAUGAGUGCUAAGUGUUAGGGGGUUUCCGCCCCUUAGUGCUGCAGCUAACGCAUUAAGCACUCCGCCUGGGGAGUACGACCGCAAGGUUGAAACUCAAAGGAAUUGACGGGGACC
RNAcentral lists this ribosomal RNA (882 nucleotides) under Staphylococcus xylosus. RNAcentral's name for it is "bacterial SSU rRNA". It matches the Rfam family "Bacterial small subunit ribosomal RNA", at positions 57 to 921 of the family's 1533-position model. Lineage: Bacteria; Bacillati; Bacillota; Bacilli; Caryophanales; Staphylococcaceae. The record is from RNAcentral.